AAGAAUUUAAGUUAAAAAAACUUUUAACCUUCAAAGUUAACAAUAGAAUUUAUUCCUAAUUCUU
This 64-nucleotide transfer RNA is filed under the name Cylas formicarius (sweet potato weevil). RNAcentral's name for it is "tRNA-Trp". The record is from RNAcentral. Lineage: Eukaryota; Metazoa; Arthropoda; Insecta; Coleoptera; Brentidae.